RNAcentral lists this ribosomal RNA (429 nucleotides) under uncultured bacterium. RNAcentral describes it as "bacterial SSU rRNA". It matches the Rfam family "Bacterial small subunit ribosomal RNA", at positions 355 to 776 of the family's 1533-position model. The record is from RNAcentral.
UGGGGAAUCUUGCGCAAUGGGCGAAAGCCUGACGCAGCGACGCCGCGUGUGCGAUGAAGGCCUUUGGGUCGUAAAGCACUGUCAACAGGGACGAAAACCUGGAGGGUAAUAUCCUUCAGGCUUGACGGUACCUGUGGAGGAAGCACCGGCUAACUCUGUGCCAGCAGCCGCGGUAAUACAGAGGGUGCAAACGUUGUUCGGAAUUACUGGGCGUAAAGCGCGUGUAGGCGGUUUGUUAAGUCGACUGUGAAAGCCCAUGGCUCAACCAUGGAAGUGCAGUCGAUACUGGCAAACUCGAGUCCCGGAGAGGGUGGUGGAAUUCCCAGUGUAGAGGUGAAAUUCGUAGAUAUUGGGAGGAACACCGGUGGCGAAGGCGACCACCUGGACGGGUACUGACGCUGAGACGCGAAAGCGUGGGGAGCAAACAGG